GACGAACGCUGGCGGCGUGCUUAACACAUGCAAGUCGAACGGAAAAGCCCCGUUGGGGUAACGCGAGUGGCGAACGGGAGCGUAACACGUAAGUAACCUGCCCUUGACUUCGGGAUAACUUCAGGAAACUGGGGCGAAUACCGGAUAGGCAUCCUUGCUGCAUGGAGGGGGUUGAAGAGCUUCGGCGGUGUUGGAUGGACUCACGGCUGAUCAGCCUGUUGGUGGGGUAGUGGCUUACCAAGGGUUUGACGGGUAGGCGGCCUGAGAGGGCGACCGGCCACAUUGGGACUGAGAGACGGACCAGACUCCUACGGGAGGCAGCAGUGGGGAGUAUUGCACAAUGGGCGGAAGCCUGUUGCAGCGACGCCGCGUGCGGGAUGACGGGCUUCGGGUUGUAAACCGCGUUCAGCAGGGGAGAAGCUUGUGGUGACGGUACCUGCAGAAGAAGCACCGGCUAACUACGUG
Molecule: ribosomal RNA, 465 nt
Filed under: uncultured bacterium
Lineage: Bacteria
Description: partial 16S ribosomal RNA
Rfam family: Bacterial small subunit ribosomal RNA
Source: RNAcentral